GGGCCAGGUUGGUCUUUCUCGUGCCUUUCUCAUAAUAGUGUCUUUGACUGGGAAAGAAUGCAGGCAACAUAUUAGAUCUCUCGGGCCAUCCUCCAGGGUUCUGGGCCGCAUGGUUCUGUGUGCCCUUUCAAACUCUAUGUGCUGCGGUGAGGUUGGUUGCAGGAUGGACUGAAAAAGUUCAGUAAGUAUUUCCACCACAUCUUCU
This is a non-coding RNA of Pelobates cultripes (western spadefoot toad), 205 nucleotides long. The record is from the annotation of a GenBank genome assembly. NCBI's taxonomy places the organism in Eukaryota, Metazoa, Chordata, Amphibia, Anura, Pelobatidae.